Molecule: ribosomal RNA, 492 nt
Filed under: uncultured bacterium
Lineage: Bacteria
Description: partial 16S ribosomal RNA
Rfam family: Bacterial small subunit ribosomal RNA
Source: RNAcentral
AGUGAACGCUGGCGGUAGGCCUAACACAUGCAAGUCGAACGGCAGCACAGUAAGAGCUUGCUCUUACGGGUGGCGAGUGGCGGACGGGUGAGGAAUACAUCGGAAUCUACUUUAUCGUGGGGGAUAACGUAGGGAAACUUACGCUAAUACCGCAUACGACCUACGGGUUAAAGCAGGGGAUCUUCGGACCUUUCGCGAUUGAAUGAGCCGCUGUCGGAUUAGCUAGUUGGCGGGGUAAAGGCCCACCAAGGCGACGAUCCGUAGCUUGUCUGAGAGGAGGAUCAGACACACUGGAACAGAGGCAGCGUCCAGAGUCCUACGGGAGGCAGCAGUGGGGAAUAUUGCACCAUGGAGAGAAGCCUGAUCCAGCCAUACCGCGUGAGUGAAGAAGGCCUUCGGCUUGUAAAGGGCUUUUGUUGGGAAAGAACAGCAACAGGUUGAUACCCCGAUAUUAUGACGGUACCCAAAGAAUAAGCAACGGCUAACUACGUG